Molecule: ribosomal RNA, 415 nt
Filed under: uncultured eukaryote
Lineage: Eukaryota
Description: bacterial SSU rRNA
Rfam family: Eukaryotic small subunit ribosomal RNA
Source: RNAcentral
UGUAAGUUCGCCAUAUUAGGGUGAGACUGCGCAUAGCUCAUUAUAUCAGUGGUCAUCUACAAGCUUGUUAGAUGUAAAGGGAUAUCCGUGGCAAUUCGUCGCUUAAUACCUGCCUAUUCCCGAAUUUUUUACGUUCGCUUGAUGACCCGCUUGCGGGCCUUGCUCUCGAUCCACUGCCCUAUCAACUUCCGAUGGUAGUAUAUAGGACUACCAUGGUUUCCACGGGUAACGGGGAAUCAUGGUACGAUUCCGGAUAGGGAGCCUGACAAAUAGCUACCACAUCCAACGAUGGUAUCACGCGCGCAAAUUACCCACUGGGAAUUCCCCGAGGUAGCUAUGAGCAAUAGCUAAUCGUUCUCCUUAUGGGACACGCCAUACCCAUGACGUCAACGUGAACACUUGACCGAAAGCAACU